Panicum virgatum (switchgrass) is the source of this 619-nucleotide long non-coding RNA. RefSeq lists it as uncharacterized. NCBI's taxonomy places the organism in Eukaryota, Viridiplantae, Streptophyta, Magnoliopsida, Poales, Poaceae. The record is from RefSeq and is a predicted model, not a curated record. The transcript has 2 exons.
CGCGACCCCAUCUCGCACUCCCGUGGCUUCCGCCCGCCGCCCCACUCGCGAAUCGGAAGUAGACGCAUGGUCCCCGGCGCCAAGCAGGGGUGCAGGGACGGCGGUCGGUGCGCGGGUCCCAAGUGGCCUGCGCGGGCAGCAGGGGCGCAGGGACGGAGGCCGGCGCGUGCGCUCCCCGGCGGCCAGCGCCACCACCUGCUGCCGGCCCCACCCGACGGUGGCUCCUGCGCGGACGCUCGACGCCGCCUUCACCCCUGACGGUCGACGACGACAAUCCUGGCCCCCGACUUGGCGACUCCCCUCCACCUCUCCUCGGCGUGGUCCACCGUCCGUAGCUGCCGCCUGGUCCGUGUGGUUCCGUCUACGGCUGCCGCUCUCCGACUCUGCUAAUCGAGGAAUUGGUGAAGCAGCUUUAGUAUUGAAGUGUUUCUUUUCCAUAGACACAUCAAUAUUGUAACACCAAUUGGAUUAUUGCUGCCGAGCAAUUUGACAUCGAAUUUGUACAUACUAUAUAUGAUGAGUUCUGGUUUACAUCUAGGCUUCAAUUGUCGAUGUGUUUGAUUGAAAUUUAUGUGAUUGUGAACCCCUCAAAUUAAAUAUGUGUCAGUUUUAGCUGGUA